Molecule: ribosomal RNA, 502 nt
Filed under: uncultured bacterium
Lineage: Bacteria
Description: partial 16S ribosomal RNA
Rfam family: Bacterial small subunit ribosomal RNA
Source: RNAcentral
AUUGAACGCUGGCGGAAUGCUUUACACAUGCAAGUCGAACGGCAGCACGGGAGCCUGCUCCUGGUGGCGAGUGGCGAACGGGUGAGUAAUAUAUCGGAACGUAUCCAAUAAUGGGGGAUAACUAAUCGAAAGGUUGGCUAAUACCGCAUACGCCCUGAGGGGGAAAGCUGGGGAUCUUCGGACCUAGCGUUAAUGGAGCGGCCGAUAUCUGAUUAGCUAGUUGGUGAGGUAAAAGCUCACCAAGGCGACGAUCAGUAGCUGGUCUGAGAGGACGACCAGCCACACUGGAACUGAGACACGGUCCAGACUCCUACGGGAGGCAGCAGUGGGGAAUUUUGGACAAUGGGGGAAACCCUGAUCCAGCCAUUCCGCGUGAGUGAAGAAGGCCUUCGGGUUGUAAAGCUCUUUCGCAAGGGAAGAAACGUUACCGGUGAAUAUCCGGUGAUAAUGACGGUACCUUGAUAAGAAGCACCGGCUAACUACGUGCCAGCAGCCGCAGUAA